This is an unclassified non-coding RNA of Dasypus novemcinctus (nine-banded armadillo), 95 nucleotides long. Lineage: Eukaryota; Metazoa; Chordata; Mammalia; Cingulata; Dasypodidae. The record is from Ensembl.
CCCUCGCGAUGGCCAUGCCUGUCAGUCGCCCGGAGCUUCGCUUGAGGAUUUUCUGAGCCUGAUGGAUUUACAGUGACCGUGGGCCGCCCGGGGAA